AGACACGGCCCCCACUCCUACGGGAGGCAGCAGCAGGGAAUCUUGCACAAUGGGCGAAAGCCUGAUGCAGCGACGCCGCGUGAGGGAUGAAGGUUUUAGGAUCGUAAACCUCUUUUCUUAGGGAAUAGUUUGGAAGGUACCUAAGGAAUAAGUCACGGCUAACUACGUGCCAGCAGCCGCGGUAAUACGUAGGUGGCAAAUGUUGUCCGGAAUCAUUGGGCGUAAAGGGUCCGUAGGUGGCUUGAAAAGUCUUAUGUGAAAUCUCUUGGCUCAACCAAGAAACGCCAUAAGAAACUUUCAUGCUAGAGAUCAUCAGAGGGAGGUAGAAUUCCAGGUGUAGUGGUGAAAUGCGUAGAUAUCUGGAGGAAUACCAAUGGCGAAAGCAGCCUCCUGGGGUGAAUCUGACAUUGAGGGACGAAAGCGUGGGUAGCAAACCGGAUUAGAUACCCGGGUAGUCCAUGCCGUAAACGAUGAAUACUGGGUCUUCGGGGAAUCGACCCCCUGUGGACCGAAGCUAACGCGUUAAGUAUUCCGCCUGGGGAGUACGGUCGCAAGACUAAAACUCAAAGGAAUUGACGGGGGCCCGCACAAGCAGCGGAGCGUGUGGUUUAAUUCGAUGGUAAACGAAGAACCUUACCUAGGUUUGACAUAUAAGUAGUACUGACCCGAAAGGUGAUGGACCCGCAAGGGAGCUUAUACAGGUGCUGCAUGGUUGUCGUCAGCUCGUGCCGUGAGGUGUUGGGUUAAGUCCCGCAACGAGCGCAACCCUCGUGGAUAGUUGUUUUCUUUAUCCAGACUGCUUUUACAAGAGGAAGGUGGGGAUGACGUCAAAUCAUCAUGGCUCUUACACCUAGGGCUACACACACGCUACAAUGGACAGUACAGACGGUUGCUAAGUCGCAAGAUGGAGCCAAUCCGAUAAAGCUGUCCCCAAUUGGGAUUGUAGGCUGAAACUCGCCUGCAUGAACCUGGAGUUGCUAGUAACCGCAGAUCAGAAUGCUGCGGUGAAUACGUUCCCGGGCCUUGUACACACCGCCCGUCACGUCAUGGAAGUUUGAAACACUUGAAGUCGCUGGGCUUACCUUUUAGGAGGCAGGCGCCGAGAGUGGGGCAAAUGACUGGGACGAAGUCGUAACAAGGUAGCUGUACCGGAAGGUGCG
RNAcentral lists this ribosomal RNA (1160 nucleotides) under marine metagenome. Its description in RNAcentral is "bacterial SSU rRNA". It matches the Rfam family "Bacterial small subunit ribosomal RNA", at positions 322 to 1516 of the family's 1533-position model. The record is from RNAcentral.